Molecule: long non-coding RNA, 794 nt
Filed under: Elaeis guineensis (African oil palm)
Lineage: Eukaryota; Viridiplantae; Streptophyta; Magnoliopsida; Arecales; Arecaceae
Description: long non-coding RNA (EGUI_LNC000446)
Source: RNAcentral
CAUGAAAAGGUUUCACGAGAAACCCUUUCUCAUGUGAAUUAUGUGGCGCAUAAGAUGGAUAAGCUUGAAGGCAAAAGAGAUAAGUUAUCCAUUCAAAUUCAAACACGCUUUGAAUUUGAAUGGUUAACUAAUCAGCUUUAUCCAUCCAUAUGGUGCACAAAAGUGGGCGUGAGAAGGGCUUUGCGUGAGAAAAAAUUCACGAGAAGUUUCUUCUCGUGAAUUCAAAUGGACGCAGAGAUUUAAGGUGGUGCAGGGAUUGAAAUUCGAAUGGUGGUUUGAUCUUAAUUGAACCAACCUAAUCAAAAUAGGUUAAGCACAAUUAGACUAAAUUAAACCUAACUUAAUUAGGCUUAAUUAGGCUCAAUAAAAUUCUAAUCAAAUCAAAAAUUGACUAAGCUCAAUCCCUGAUCAAAUCAGAGAUCAAACCAUCUCGACGAUUAGGUCAACUCUUAACCUAAUCGGGUCAAACCCAACUGAAUCCAAUUCAAUUGGACUUGAUCUAAAAAUAAUUACUCAAUCAAAUUGAGUUAAUUAGCGAUCAAAUCACUAAUAAAAUCUCUCAUAAUUAUUGAGUCCAAAUCCGAUGGGCAAUCGGGUAUCAAAGUCCAUCAAUAUGAAACCUUGAUCGAAGAGUUCAAAUUCAAAAUUUGAAAUUCAAAAUUUUGACCCCGGUACCUAAAAUGUGUGGAACUCAUGAUCAGAGAAUCUUAAUUCUCAAUCAUAGAGUCCCAGACACAUAAGACUCAUAAUCAGCCAUCAGAUCAGAAAGGAACCUCUAAUAUGUGUGACCCCGN